UAGGGAAUCUUCCGCAAUGGGCGAAAGCCUGACGGAGCAACGCCGCGUGAGUGAUGAAGGUCUUCGGAUCGUAAAACUCUGUUAUUAGGGAAGAACAAAUGUGUAAGUAACUAUGCACGUCUUGACGGUACCUAAUCAGAAAGCCACGGCUAACUACGUGCCAGCAGCCGCGGUAAUACGUAGGUGGCAAGCGUUAUCCGGAAUUAUUGGGCGUAAAGCGCGCGUAGGCGGUUUUUUAAGUCUGAUGUGAAAGCCCACGGCUCAACCGUGGAGGGUCAUUGGAAACUGGAAAACUUGAGUGCAGAAGAGGAAAGUGGAAUUCCAUGUGUAGCGGUGAAAUGCGCAGAGAUAUGGAGGAACACCAGUGGCGAAGGCGACUUUCUGGUCUGUAACUGACGCUGAUGUGCGUAAGCGUGGGGAUCAAACAGG
This 429-nucleotide ribosomal RNA is filed under the name Actinomycetes bacterium. RNAcentral describes it as "Actinobacteria bacterium partial 16S ribosomal RNA". It matches the Rfam family "Bacterial small subunit ribosomal RNA", at positions 355 to 776 of the family's 1533-position model. The record is from RNAcentral. Lineage: Bacteria; Bacillati; Actinomycetota; Actinomycetes.